AGAAUCAACGCUGGCGGCGUGCCUAACACAUGCAAGUCGAACGCGGUUACCUCGCAAGGGGUGACUGAGUGGCAAACGGGUGAGUAACGCGUGGGUGACCUACCUUCGAGUGGGGGAUAACGUUUCGAAAGGAACGCUAAUACCGCAUGACAUCCUGCCUUUGGACAGGCGGAGAUCAAAGCCGGGGAUCGCAAGACCUGGCGCUUAAAGAGGGGCCCGCGUCCGAUUAGCUAGUUGGUGGGUAACGGCUCACCAAGGCGACGAUCGGUA
RNAcentral lists this ribosomal RNA (270 nucleotides) under uncultured soil bacterium. Its description in RNAcentral is "partial 16S ribosomal RNA". It matches the Rfam family "Bacterial small subunit ribosomal RNA", at positions 26 to 285 of the family's 1533-position model. The record is from RNAcentral.